Molecule: ribosomal RNA, 460 nt
Filed under: uncultured bacterium
Lineage: Bacteria
Description: partial 16S ribosomal RNA
Rfam family: Bacterial small subunit ribosomal RNA
Source: RNAcentral
CCUACGGGUGGCAGCAGUGAGGAAUAUUGGUCAAUGGACGCAAGCCUGAACCAGCCAUGCCGCGUGCAGGAAGACGGCUCUAUGAGUUGUCAACUGCUUUUGUACGAGGGUAAAUCCCGAUACGUGUAUCGGGUUGAAAGUAUCGUACGAAUAAGGAUCGGCUAACUCCGUGCCAGCAGCCGCGGUAAUACGGAGGAUUCAAGCGUUAUCCGGAUGUAUUGGGUUUAAAGGGUGCGUAGGCGGUUCGAUAAGUUAGAGGUGAAAUCCCGGGGCUCAACUCCGGCACUGCCUCUGAUACUGUCGGGCUAGAGUUUAGUUGCGGUAGGCGGAAUGUAUGGUGUAGCGGUGAAAUGCAUAGAGAUCAUACAGAACACCGAUUGCGAAGGCAGCUUACCAAACUACGACUGACGUUGAGGCACGAAAGCGUGGGGAGCAAACAGGAUUAGAUACCCUAGUAGUC